Molecule: ribosomal RNA, 272 nt
Filed under: uncultured prokaryote
Description: partial 16S ribosomal RNA
Rfam family: Bacterial small subunit ribosomal RNA
Source: RNAcentral
AACGUAGGAGGCGAGCGUUAUCCGGAUUUACUGGGUGUAAAGCGCGUGUAGGCGGUCCUGCAAGUGGCGCGUGAAAGCGCCCGGCUCAACCGGGCGAGGACGUGACCGAACUGCGGGGCUAGAGGCAGGUAGAGGCGUGUGGAAUUCCGGGUGUAGUGGUGAAAUGCGUAGAGAUCCGGAGGAACACCAGUGGCGAAGGCGACACGCUGGGCCUGACCUGACGCUGAGAGGCGAAAGCAUGGGGAGCAAACAGGAUUAGAUACCCCUGUAGU